This 337-nucleotide ribosomal RNA is filed under the name uncultured bacterium. RNAcentral describes it as "bacterial SSU rRNA". It matches the Rfam family "Bacterial small subunit ribosomal RNA", at positions 172 to 507 of the family's 1533-position model. The record is from RNAcentral.
GAUAGUAUUAUAGUAAGGCAUCUUGUUGUAAUUAAAGCUAUGGCGGAUAAGGAUGAGCGUGCGCAAGAUUAGCUAGUUGGUGAGGUAACGGCUCACCAAGGCGACGAUCUUUAGCUGAUGUGAGAGCAUGAUCAGCCACACGGGCACUGAGACACGGGCCCGACUCCUACGGGAGGCAGCAGUGAGGAAUAUUGGUCAAUGGACGGAAGUCUGAACCAGCCAUGCCGCGUGAAGGAUGAAGGCGUUCUGCGUUGUAAACUUCUUUUAUUUAGGAAGAAACCACCGAUUUCUAUUGGUGUUGACGGUAUUAAAUGAAUAAGCACCGGCUAACCCCGUG